AUGGCGGGCAUAUGCCCGGUGGCCUGAAGCCUUUUAUUUAUUUUUUUAUUCAUGCCAAACUCGCGUCUAACGUAGCAGGCCACGUUAACUUCAAUGCAGGCCACAUUAACGUCAAUUCAAGUUAAUGCAAGUUAAACUGGCAGAUCUGCCCUUUAUCAUGAUUGAUUGAAGCCUGGGCCAAUGAGGUGAGGGGCAGGCCAAUUACGCCUACCCCUCCAUCUCAGCCUCCGUUGGUGACUUGGUUGGUUAGCCACUGCUAGCAGGCGGAUCGAAAACGGGCAAUAUGGACCCUAGUGGGAAGAAAAGAAAGGGUGGCGCUGAAAGAGCCAGGGACCAGAAAAAAGCAGCCCUUCAGGCAGAUGCUACGAAAUGCCUAAAAAUAGCUGAUAUGUUUGCUGCUCGUGGUGUGAUUUGUUAAGUUAAGUGAUUUAUUUUAUUUUGUACAGUUAAGUAAUUAUUGACUCAUUGUAAAUAUAAGUGUUUAACUUCAAUUGUUAUGUGUGUCAUCACUUUUUAUUUUAUAUUCAAAAUUAAAUGGAUGAAAAUCC
Molecule: long non-coding RNA, 548 nt
Organism: Gadus morhua (Atlantic cod)
Lineage: Eukaryota; Metazoa; Chordata; Actinopteri; Gadiformes; Gadidae
Exons: 2
Source: RefSeq, a predicted model, not a curated record